RNAcentral lists this ribosomal RNA (492 nucleotides) under uncultured bacterium. RNAcentral describes it as "partial 16S ribosomal RNA". It matches the Rfam family "Bacterial small subunit ribosomal RNA", at positions 29 to 507 of the family's 1533-position model. The record is from RNAcentral.
AGUGAACGCUGGCGGUAGGCCUAACACAUGCAAGUCGAACGGCAGCACAGUAAGAGCUUGCUCUUACGGGUGGCGAGUGGCGGACGGGUGAGGAAUACAUCGGAAUCUACUUUUUCGUGGGGGAUAACGUAGGGAAACUUACGCUAAUACCGCAUACGACCUACGGGUGAAAGCAGGGGAUCUUCGGACCUUGCGCGAUUGAAUGAGCCGAUGUCGGAUUAGCUAGUUGGCGGGGUAAAGGCCCACCAAGGCGACGAUCCGUAGCUGGUCUGAGAGGAUGAUCAGCCACACUGGAACUGAGACACGGUCCAGGCUCCUACGGGAGGCAGCAGUGGGCAAUAUUGGACAAUGGGCGCAAGCCUGAUCCAGCCAUCCCGCGUGGGUGAAGAAGGCCUUCGGGUUGUAAAGCCCUUUUGUUGGGAAAGAAAAGCAGCAGGUUAAUACCCCGCUGUUCUGACGGUACCCAAAGAAUAAGCACCGGCUAACUUCGUG